AGGUUGGUUAAGGAGGCAAGUUUUCUGGAUAUCAAAGCAAAUAUUACAAUUAGUUAUGGAAGAUGCUGUGGAUGACUUGCUACUGAGGGAGAUAUGUUGGCUGCGGAAUGAAGACACAGUUGCUCAAGGAAUUCGUUGGGCUCAAGAUAUUCUUUGGCCAAAUGGCGUAUUCUUUACAAGAGUGAAUGACAGUCAAGA
This is a non-coding RNA of Camelina sativa (false flax), 198 nucleotides long. The record is from RefSeq and is a predicted model, not a curated record. Lineage: Eukaryota; Viridiplantae; Streptophyta; Magnoliopsida; Brassicales; Brassicaceae.